UACGGAGGGUGCGAGCGUUACUCGGAAUCACUGGGCGUAAAGGGCGCGUAGGCGGUCUAGCAAGUCUGGUGUGAAAGCCCAGGGCUCAACCCUGGAAGGGCACUGGAAACUGCUAGGCUUGAGUUCCGGAGAGGAGGGGGGAAUUCCCGGUGUAGCGGUGAAAUGCGUAGAUAUCGGGAGGAAUACCGGUGGCGAAGGCGCCCCUCUGGACGGAGACUGACGCUGAGGCGCGAAAGCGUGGGGAGCAAACAGG
RNAcentral lists this ribosomal RNA (253 nucleotides) under uncultured bacterium. RNAcentral describes it as "partial 16S ribosomal RNA". It matches the Rfam family "Bacterial small subunit ribosomal RNA", at positions 524 to 776 of the family's 1533-position model. The record is from RNAcentral.